CUAAAACUUCCUUUUUACAUUUGUAGGGACUAUCUGUUCCAUGUAGUGAAUCUGUUAUUCAGUUCGUUUGUAUGGACUAAUGGCAGUAAGGCCUACAAUUAUAUAAAAAAAGAGGAACAAAUACAGUACCAGUCAAAAAUUUGGACACCUACUCAUUCAAGGGGUUUUCUUUAUUUUUACUAUUUUCUACAUUGUAGAAUAAUAGUGAAGGCACAAACUAUGAACAAAUCAAAAUAUAUUUGAGAUUCUUCAAAGUAGCCACCCUUUGCCUUGAUGACAACUUUGCACACUCUUACGGUGCAUGUACACUAGAUAGCGGUAAAUUGCCACGUGCCGCUUAGGCCUCCCGCAUAUGGCAGCAUGUUAGAUUUUGCGUCAAUAAUUCAGCAUAGCAUUUUUGUUUGAAGGCCGGAUUAUUAAAUGGGUACAUAGUUCAAUAGUAAUAUCCUCUAAAACGCUCUGGUGACACAACUUUGCUGCCCUGUUUCCGAUCGUCCACAUGGCUGGGAGAACCUAUUCAAGUAAGUAAAUAUAUUUUGAAAAUGUAACAAUGAACAAUGUAUUAUUAACUAACUAGCUACAGUGCAGGCUAACUCAAAUGAGCUGCUAAAUGUGCUAGCUAGUUGGCUAGCUAUCUACCUAGCCAACUUCACAUACUGUAUAGAUAGCUAAGUGAAUGAAAUGUCACCAUAUUAGCUAGCUAUAUGCAUUUGUAGGUAGCUAGCUAACGGCCAUGGAGGAGGGUGAAAGGAUAGCCGCCCCAACUUUCAGUGAGAGAGUAGGCUAUUCUGGAUAGGGCAGGUACUUUUGUGUUGUUCCUGUCGCUAGAAGUGAGGACGGAGAUAAUAGUAACAUAAUAUUCAGUGCGGUGUAAUAUGACUAUAAUGAAGUCUGUUUCUUGUGAGGUUUUCUGUCCUCAGAUACAGAGAGCUGUGAAAGCCUGUCUCCAGAUGAAGAGGUCCCAAUGAAGAGCAGUGGUUCUCAGUCCUGGUCCAGGAGACUCAAAGAGCAUAAAGUACUCUGCAGCCACUUAGUGUAGUCCGGACAACAGGUGAGGCCACACACACAGAUUCCUGUUGAACACUGUCCCUGAGAGAGGCUGGACUGAGGGCUUGUAGGCUUGUUGUAAG
Molecule: long non-coding RNA, 1130 nt
Organism: Oncorhynchus tshawytscha (Chinook salmon)
Lineage: Eukaryota; Metazoa; Chordata; Actinopteri; Salmoniformes; Salmonidae
Source: Ensembl